CCCCUAGACGUUCUGGGCUGCACGCGCGCUACAAUAAUACGCACAGCGAUUAUCACCGAGCUCGAAAGGGCAAGGUAAACAAUAGAAAAGGUACUGUAAUGGUUAUAGAUCCUUGUAAUUAUUGAUCUUCAACGAGGAAUUCCUAGUAAGUAUGUGUCAUCAUCACGCACUGAUUACGUCCCUGCCCUUUGUACACACCGCCCGUCGCUCCUACCGAUUGAGUGAGCCAAUGAAACUGCCGGAUGUGGACUAUUCAUAGUCUGCAGAAGAUAUUUGAAUCGUAGCGCUUAGAGGAAGGAGAAGUCGUAACA
This 311-nucleotide ribosomal RNA is filed under the name uncultured eukaryote. RNAcentral describes it as "partial 18S ribosomal RNA". It matches the Rfam family "Eukaryotic small subunit ribosomal RNA", at positions 1470 to 1796 of the family's 1831-position model. The record is from RNAcentral.